GACAGAGGGGGCAAGCGUUGCUCGGAAUCACUGGGCGUAAAGGGCGCGCAGGCGGGAUGGCAAGUCAGUCGUGAAAUCUCUCGGCUCAACCGAGAAACGUCGGCUGAUACUGCCAUUCUUGAGGGAUGCAGAGGAGACUGGAAUUCCCGGUGUAGCGGUGAAAUGUGUAGAGAUCGGGAGGAACACCGGUGGCGAAGGCGGGUCUCUGGGCAUCUCCUGACGCUGAGGCGCGAAAGCGUGGGGAGCAAACGGG
Molecule: ribosomal RNA, 253 nt
Filed under: uncultured bacterium
Lineage: Bacteria
Description: partial 16S ribosomal RNA
Rfam family: Bacterial small subunit ribosomal RNA
Source: RNAcentral